UUAUAUGAGCAUGAGCUUUCAUCUUAAGCUGUGUGUUGGGUUCCUUGGAUACAAGUUUUCUAAUUUGAAGAAGACUGGACUUUAUUUGGAGAAUUUGGUUUCGACUUUCGUAAGAUAAGAGUGAUGAAGAUCUUCUUGGAAAUCUUCAAUCUGUUGGUUUACUGUGUAUCAACCCUUUGGGCUUUGCAGGAGAGGAGAUUUGAAGAAAUUUUUAGCUAUGAACAAUCACAUUAAUUUUGGUGAGGUAGUCAGAAAAUGAAGGCGACCACCUCAGUAACAUGGAGGAAGGGAAAUUCCUCGCCUAGAUCCACACUAGCUUCAUGAGAAAAAGCUUACAGGAUUUCUUCCAAAGAGGCGACAAAUAAGCAAUUAGUCUCAAGGAACAUAUCGCAUGAAAGCUCUCAAGGAAGUGUUAAAAGGCGAAAUAAUGUCGCUUUCCCUCCAACCUCCAAGCCCUAAGUCAGAACAGUCCCUUUAUGAAGGUGACUUCUUCUUCUUCUUCUUCUUCUUUUUUUUUUUUUAAUCUCCUUAUUUGAAGGAAGAUCUUCCAUUAAAUCUACUAGAUACGAUUGGUGAAAAGGCAUACAUACGCAUGUGGAGAAUUUGAAUCCAAUUGAGAAAUUUUUCUUGAUUCUUAUUGUAUCUUCCAGUGAGGAAACUCUUUGAAUUCGAACCAUCUUUCAUCA
Macadamia integrifolia is the source of this 686-nucleotide long non-coding RNA. RefSeq lists it as uncharacterized. The record is from RefSeq and is a predicted model, not a curated record. The transcript is spliced from 2 exons. NCBI's taxonomy places the organism in Eukaryota, Viridiplantae, Streptophyta, Magnoliopsida, Proteales, Proteaceae.